AUGAUGAGGCCCAGACCCUUCGGUUCCGGUGUGGCAUCGGCCGCCGCGGCCGAGGUUUCGGUGGGCGCGGGAUGCCGCGGCGGCUGGGCGUGGAGGCCCAGGCCGAGGGCGCGGCCGGGGCAGCGCUUGAGGGUCAGAGGGGCGCCUAGCCCCCACGCGGCCGCGCCGGCGAGCGCCGUGCACGCGGAGCCCCACCACGGCGAGCGGUUCCGCCCGUUCGGGCUGCCCCGCGCUGGAUUCGGCUCGGACCUGGAGGCGGGCAUCGAGAAGGUCAUCUACGCCUGCCGCUUCAUGGCCUUCCUCGCCAUCGCCGGAUCUCUCGCCGGAUCCGUCCUCUGCUUCCUCAAGGGCUGCACUUUUGUGAUGGAUGCCUUCGUGGAGUACUACUUGCGCGGCGAUGGGAAGGUCGUGCUCAUGCUGAUUGAAGCCAUUGAUAUGUAUCUCAUCGGCACGGUCAUGUUUGUCUUCGGGACGGGCCUGUACGAGCUGUUCAUCAGUAACAUGGACAUCGCAAAACAGUCCCAUGACCGCUCCAGCCUCUUUGGCUUGUUCAAGCUUCCGGAACGGCCCAAGUGGCUGGAAAUCCGCUCGGUGAGUGACCUCAAGACAAAGCUGGGUCAUGUAAUCGUCCUGGUUCUGCUGGUUGGCAUCUCCGAGAAGAGCAAGAGGGUGACCAUCACGUCAUGUACUGACCUCUUCUGCUUCGCUGGAUCUAUCUUCCUCUCUUCAGGUUGCCUCUACCUACUAUCCAAGCUCGGUAGCACAAAAGGAGGGAGUCAUGCCUGA
This 786-nucleotide ribosomal RNA is filed under the name Triticum aestivum (bread wheat). RNAcentral describes it as "partial small subunit ribosomal RNA". The record is from RNAcentral. Lineage: Eukaryota; Viridiplantae; Streptophyta; Magnoliopsida; Poales; Poaceae.